Molecule: transfer RNA, 83 nt
Filed under: Bifidobacterium longum subsp. infantis
Lineage: Bacteria; Bacillati; Actinomycetota; Actinomycetes; Bifidobacteriales; Bifidobacteriaceae
Also listed under: 4 other names
Description: tRNA-Ser(gct)
Source: RNAcentral
ACGCUGCUGCAUGACGCGGUCGCAGCGCUCCAACUGCUGAUUGGGCAGAAGAAACAUGGAGAGUUCAACUCCUUUGCUGUGUC